This 270-nucleotide long non-coding RNA is filed under the name Bos taurus (domestic cattle). RNAcentral's name for it is "long non-coding RNA NONBTAT000004". The record is from RNAcentral. Lineage: Eukaryota; Metazoa; Chordata; Mammalia; Artiodactyla; Bovidae.
GAUAGGUCCUAAAUGUCACUUCAGCUUAUUUAGAGUUAAUUGUUUACUACAAACAUAUCAACAUGAGCUAGUCUUAUUAUAACAAUUGGAUAUUUCAUAAAGAGAAAUAUUCUGGUGUAUUCUGUUUUCUUCUUAAUACGUGUGAAUUGCUAUGCUCUUCUAAGUGGUGGAAUGAUCAGUAGGGAAAUAAUCAGAAGUGAAUACCUAAGUCAAAAUUUACCAUUACAUCUGAUGCAUUGAGGCUUAUCAGAAUAUCCACCAAGCAUUAAC